This is a non-coding RNA of Rhizobiales bacterium 62-47, 59 nucleotides long. NCBI's taxonomy places the organism in Bacteria, Pseudomonadati, Pseudomonadota, Alphaproteobacteria, Hyphomicrobiales. The record is from Rfam.
AUUUGACACGGACCGACGGUGGCCAGUUUGGGCCCCACAUUUGGUCGCGGUGCAAUGAC